RNAcentral lists this ribosomal RNA (154 nucleotides) under Gallirallus pendiculentus. RNAcentral's name for it is "partial 12S ribosomal RNA". The record is from RNAcentral. Lineage: Eukaryota; Metazoa; Chordata; Aves; Gruiformes; Rallidae.
CCAGCUCACCUUCUCUGAGAGCUCAACAGUGAGCACAACAACACCCCCCGCUAAUAAGACAGGUCAAGGUAUAGCCUAUGGAGAGGAAGAAAUGGGCUACAUUCUCUAAGAUAGAGUACUGACGAAAAGGGGCCUGAAAUAGCCCCUAGAAGGA